GACGAACGCUGGCGGCGUGCCUAAUACAUGCAAGUCGAGCGGAGUUAGAGAAGCUUGCUUCUCUAACUUAGCGGCGGACGGGUGAGUAACACGUGGGCAAUCUGCCCGUAAGACUGGGAUAACUCCGGGAAACCGGGGCUAAUACCGGAUAAUCCUGACUCUCUCCUGAGAGUCAGUUGAAAGAUGGUUUCGGCUAUCACUUACGGAUGAGCCCGCGGCGCAUUAGCUAGUUGGUAGGGUAAUGGCCUACCAAGGCGACGAUGCGUAGCCGACCUGAGAGGGUGAUCGGCCACACUGGGGCUGAGACACGGCCCAGACUCCUACGGGAGGCAGCAGUAGGGAAUCUUCCGCAAUGGACGAAAGUCUGACGGAGCAACGCCGCGUGAGUGAAGAAGGUUUUCGGAUCGUAAAACUCUGUUGUUAGGGAAGAACACGUACGAGAGUAACUGCUCGUACCUUGACGGUACCUAACCAGAAAGCCACGGCUAACUACGUG
RNAcentral lists this ribosomal RNA (496 nucleotides) under uncultured bacterium. RNAcentral describes it as "bacterial SSU rRNA". It matches the Rfam family "Bacterial small subunit ribosomal RNA", at positions 28 to 507 of the family's 1533-position model. The record is from RNAcentral.